This 531-nucleotide ribosomal RNA is filed under the name uncultured bacterium. RNAcentral's name for it is "partial 16S ribosomal RNA". It matches the Rfam family "Bacterial small subunit ribosomal RNA", at positions 28 to 523 of the family's 1533-position model. The record is from RNAcentral.
GACGAACGCUGGCGGCGUGCUUAACACAUGCAAGUCGAACGGGAAGAAAAAGAAGAGCUUGCUCUUUUUUGGAUUCUAGUGGCAAACGGGUGAGUAACACGUAAACAACCUGCCUUCAGGAUGGGGACAACAGACGGAAACGACUGCUAAUACCGAAUACCUUCCAAUUUCCGCAUGGAGAUAGGAAGAAAGGGUGGCCUCUACUUGUAAGCUAUCGCCUGAAGAGGGGGUUGCGUCUGAUUAGCUAGUUGGUGAGGUAACGGACCACCAAGGCGAGGAUCAGUAGCCGGUCUACGAGGAUGAACGGCCACACGGGAACUCAGACACGGUCCAGACUCCUACGGGAGGCAGCAAGGGGGAAUCUUCCGCAAUGGACGAAAGUCUGACGGAGCAACGCCGCGUGAACGAUGAAGGUCUUCGGAUUGUAAAGUUCUGUGAUCCGGGACGAAGGCAUCAAUUGAGAAUAUUGAUUGAUGUUGACGGUACCGGAAAAGCAAGCCACGGCUAACUACGUGCCAGCCGCCGCAGUAA